This 301-nucleotide ribosomal RNA is filed under the name uncultured bacterium. RNAcentral's name for it is "partial 16S ribosomal RNA". It matches the Rfam family "Bacterial small subunit ribosomal RNA", at positions 509 to 807 of the family's 1533-position model. The record is from RNAcentral.
CAGUAGCCGCGGUAAUACGGAGGGUGCAAGCGUUAUCCGGAUUUAUUGGGUUUAAAGGGUCCGUAGGCGGACUUAUAAGUCAGUGGUGAAAGCCUGUCGCUUAACGAUAGAACUGCCAUUGAUACUGUAAGUCUUGAGUAUAUUUGAGGUAGCUGGAAUAAGUAGUGUAGCGGUGAAAUGCAUAGAUAUUACUUAGAACACCAAUUGCGAAGGCAGGUUACCAAGAUAUAACUGACGCUGAGGGACGAAAGCGUGGGUAGCGAACAGGAUUAGAUACCCGCGUAGUCCCUGUCUCUUAUAC